GGGUUGUGAGGUUAAGCGACUAAGCGUACACGGUGGAUGCCCUGGCAGUCAGAGGCGAUGAAGGACGUGCUAAUCUGCGAUAAGCGCCGGUAAGGUGAUAUGAACCGUUAUAACCGGCGAUUUCCGAAUGGGGAAACCCAGUGUGACUCGUCACACUAUCAUUAACUGAAUCCAUAGGUUAAUGAGGCGAACCGGGGGAACUGAAACAUCUAAGUACCCCGAGGAAAAGAAAUCAACCGAGAUUCCCCCAGUAGCGGCGAGCGAACGGGGAGGAGCCCAGAGCCUGAAUCAGCAUGUGUGUUAGUGGAAGCGUCUGGAAAGGCGCGCGAUACAGGGUGACAGCCCCGUACACAAAAGCGCAUGUGCUGUGAGCUCGAUGAGUAGGGCGGGACACGUGGUAUCCUGUCUGAAUAUGGGGGGACCAUCCUCCAAGGCUAAAUACUCCUGACUGACCGAUAGUGAACCAGUACCGUGAGGGAAAGGCGAAAAGAACCCCGGCGAGGGGAGUGAAAAAGAACCUGAAACCGUGUACGUACAAGCAGUGGGAGCCCCACCACUAAGCCAGUGGUGAACUCCACAUACGCAUCCUUUGCUGAGGAUACGGUUAACGGAGCGAAAGCGACGUUCAACCUCAAAAGAAGCAGAGGGGGCUUAGUGGUGGGGUGACUGCGUACCUUUUGUAUAAUGGGUCAGCGACUUAUAUUCUGUAGCAAGGUUAACCGAAUAGGGGAGCCGCAGGGAAACCGAGUCUUAAUUGGGCGUUAAGUUGCAGGGUAUAGACCCGAAACCCGGUGAUCUAGCCAUGGGCAGGUUGAAGGUUGGGUAACACUAACUGGAGGACCGAACCGACUAAUGUUGAAAAAUUAGCGGAUGACCUGUGGCUGGGGGUGAAAGGCCAAUCAAACCGGGAGAUAGCUGGUUCUCCCCGAAAGCUAUUUAGGUAGCGCCUCGUGAAUUCAUCUCCGGGGGUAGAGCACUGUUUCGGCUAGGGGGCCAUCCCGGCUUACCAACCCGAUGCAAACUGCGAAUACCGGAGAAUGUUAUCACGGGAGACACACGGCGGGUGCUAACGUCCGUCGUGAAGAGGGAAACAACCCAGACCGCCAGCUAAGGUCCCAAAGUCAUGGUUAAGUGGGAAACGAUGUGGGAAGGCCCAGACAGCCAGGAUGUUGGCUUAGAAGCAGCCAUCAUUUAAAGAAAGCGUAAUAGCUCACUGGUCGAGUCGGCCUGCGCGGAAGAUGUAACGGGGCUAAACCAUGCACCGAAGCUGCGGCAGCGACGCUGAUGCGUUGUUGGGUAGGGGAGCGUUCUGUAAGCCUG
This 1320-nucleotide ribosomal RNA is filed under the name Salmonella enterica. RNAcentral describes it as "partial 23S ribosomal RNA". It matches the Rfam family "Bacterial large subunit ribosomal RNA", at positions 1 to 1251 of the family's 2925-position model. The record is from RNAcentral. Lineage: Bacteria; Pseudomonadati; Pseudomonadota; Gammaproteobacteria; Enterobacterales; Enterobacteriaceae.